AGAGUUUGAUCAUGGCUCAGAACGAACGCUGGCGGCAGGCUUAACACAUGCAAGUCGAGCGCCCCGCAAGGGGAGCGGCAGACGGGUGAGUAACGCGUGGGAAUCUACCCAGCUCUACGGAACAACUCCGGGAAACUGGAGCUAAUACCGUAUACGUCCUUCGGGAGAAAGAUUUAUCGGAGUUGGAUGAGCCCGCGUUGGAUUAGCUAGUUGGUGGGGUAAUGGCCCACCAAGGCGACGAUCCAUAGCUGGUCUGAGAGGAUGAUCAGCCACACUGGGACUGAGACACGGCCCAGACUCCUACGGGAGGCAGCAGUGGGGAAUAUUGGACAAUGGGCGAAAGCCUGAUCCAGCCAUGCCGCGUGAGUGAUGAAGGCCCUAGGGUUGUAAAGCUCUUUCACCGGUGAAGAUAAUGACGGUAACCGGAGAAGAAGCCCCGGCUAACUUCGUGCCAGCAGCCGCGGUAAUACGAAGGGGGCUAGCGUUGUUCGGAAUUACUGGGCGUAAAGCGCACGUAGGCGGACUAUUAAGUCAGGGGUGAAAUCCCGGGGCUCAACCCCGGAACUGCCUUUGAUACUGGUAGUCUCGAGUCCGGAAGAGGUGAGUGGAAUUCCGAGUGUAGAGGUGAAAUUCGUAGAUAUUCGGAGGAACACCAGUGGCGAAGGCGGCUCACUGGUCCGGUACUGACGCUGAGGUGCGA
Molecule: ribosomal RNA, 700 nt
Filed under: uncultured bacterium
Lineage: Bacteria
Description: bacterial SSU rRNA
Rfam family: Bacterial small subunit ribosomal RNA
Source: RNAcentral